RNAcentral lists this ribosomal RNA (442 nucleotides) under uncultured bacterium. RNAcentral's name for it is "bacterial SSU rRNA". It matches the Rfam family "Bacterial small subunit ribosomal RNA", at positions 630 to 1071 of the family's 1533-position model. The record is from RNAcentral.
AAACUGAACAGCUAGAGUAUGGUAGGGGCAGAGGGAAUUCCUGGUGUAGCGGUGAAAUGCGUAGAGAUCAGGAAGAACAUCGGUGGCGAAGGCGCUCUGCUGGACCAUAACUGACACUCAGGGACGAAAGCUAGGGGAGCGAAUGGGAUUAGAUACCCUGGUAGUCCACGCCGUAAACGAUGAGUGCUAGGUGUUGGAUCCUUUCCGGGAUUCAGUGCCGCAGCUAACGCAUUAAGCACUCCGCCUGGGGAGUACGACCGCAAGGUUGAAACUCAAAGGAAUUGACGGGGCCCGCACAAGCGGUGGAGCAUGUGGUUUAAUUCGAAGCAACGCGAAGAACCUUACCAGGUCUUGACAUCCCGAUGCUAUUUCUAGAGAUAGAAAGUUACUUCGGUACAUCGGUGACAGGUGGUGCAUGGUUGUCGUCAGCUCGUGUCGUGAG